This 2307-nucleotide long non-coding RNA is filed under the name Malus domestica (apple). RNAcentral's name for it is "long non-coding RNA (MDOM_LNC014685)". Lineage: Eukaryota; Viridiplantae; Streptophyta; Magnoliopsida; Rosales; Rosaceae. The record is from RNAcentral.
UAUAUAUAUAAUUUUUUUUCUCGUUUUGCAUGCAUGUAAAUUGAACUUGACACUUCCUCCAACCAUCCAUGUGCCGAUAGACCAUCUAAUCAUCGUAUUUAUUGAUUAUCUCUUUCAAAAGGGAGUUUGACGAUAGACCACCAACAAGUCUUUUUAUUUAUUUGUUUAUUUAUUUAUUUUUAUUUUUUUGGAGCAAAGGAACAUACAUUACCAACAACAAACAGUACAAACACAACACAGAGGCCCAAAAUUUACAACACGGAGGCCUAGGAACGAAAAACACAAACAACCAACAGAGGCCUAGCCUAAAGUUGAGCCCAAAACAAAGAACACACAAAAACAACCAGAGUUGCUGCAACCUUCGCCAAAACCACCGCUGCAACCCCCAAAAUAGCAGCCAUGCAUGUCGAUCCAAUCAAAUUCAGUGCCCAAACAAAGCCACGCCUCACAAACAUCAGCAGCUAAUUCCAAGCUUCACGGCCAGCACAACUACAAACCCCAGAGAACCUGCAGCCAAGUGAAAGAAGCUCAUGGCAGUCCACGAGCAACACUACCAACAAGGGCAGACAGCAAAGAGAAGGUGGGGGUGCAAGGAACACCUAACCCAAUGCUAGCACCAAAUCAAAGCACACCAACUUGAAACACACCAACAAAUCGCGGUAAAGGGUGACGGAAGUUGGGAAAUUGGAUGAAAAUGGAUGAGAGACAGCAAAGGGGAGAGAAUAUGGCAAAUCCGCCAAAAAACCCAAGGAAGAAAACAACGGAUAGAAGAGGAGAAAGAGAGGGAGAAAGAAACAAAAGAAAACCCACCGAUCCCAGCCGAAGCUAAGAUCAGCGGCACAGGAAAUGGACUCGAUCAGGAACCACUCACACAGAUCGGUGAGAUUAACCCGCACACAGAGGGAAGGUCUCUCACGGAGAGAUAAAGGGUUCUAACUUCUAUCUUAUCCCCAUUUAUUUAUUUAUUUUUAUUUGGCACUGUGAGCUCUACCAAAAACUGAUCAAAUGCUUGAAUUGUUUAAGCAAUAAGACCCGCAAGUCAAUAAAAAUGUGAUGAGUUGGGUGUGAUGCAGAUUGUGUGAUAUCUAGUAGGAACCUUUCGAUACUUGCUUUUUACGUAACUAUUCUCAAAUAAUGGAGCCGAAAAUACAACUGAAGAGCAAAGCAAGAAUUGAGCAGUUGAUUAAUUUCCUUUUCGCGGGUUUGACUGACCUCUCUAAAACUCGAUGAAUGUGGAAAAACAUGUGGAAUAAAUGGGUAGAUGUUAUGCUUCUUUUCAAACAGAUAAAACGCGUUUCACUAAUCAUUCCGUCAAGUGCGUGAAGAUGAGCAAAUACACAUAGCCCAAGGAUCAAGUGAUUAAGCGCAUUCAACACUACAUCUAAGCUUAGGCAUUUGAAUUUCCUUUUCCAAGCAUAAUUUCUGUUUUAGGGGGAAAACUUGUGCUUUCUCUCAGUCACUACUCACUAGCACCUUGUUUCACGUGGGAACAUGGGUAAGAUGUCAUGCUAUCGUUUCAACGUUUCAAUCAGAUCAAAGUUGUUUCACUAUUUACUUCAUCAAGUACAUUAACAAGAUCAAUGACGUAUAAUUGAAAUGAUUAAGAAUAUUUUUUGUUGCGUUUGAGCUCCUGUAUUUGAUUUUCCGCUCCCCAAAUUUUCCUCAAUCUAAAUUGCUAUUCAAUUUGGUUGGUGGAGUUGGAUAUGACUUGACACAACUUCUAAUAAAUUGAAGAUUUUUGUUUCUUGCUAGAUGACCUAAACAUGCAUAUCAUUCAUAAUUCAUCAAUCUGAUGUUGUAGGUAGACAAAAAUAGGUACACUUGAUGUUACAUUCAACUGUUAAGAUGAUUAUGCAUUUGAAUUUCGUGUUUACAGCCCAAAUUUAAAUUCGUACAAGUUACAACAGUACCUUCAAAAUAAAACUUUGAAGGCAAGAAACUGUAGGUAUAUAUAUGAUGUUGUAAGUAGGCAAUGGUCAAUCAGAAAUUGCCAUCCCACUUAUCUUCUAUAUUUAAUUGCUACAUUCCCUUUGCUUGAGGAGCAAACAUAUGUAAACACAAUUGGUUUUCUUUUAUGUUUACUCUCUAAUAAAGUAUCGAUUACAUAUGAGAGUUAAGUUAGUUGAUAAAUGCGGUGUGUUGGUCAUUGGCAUCUAAAUUCGGAUCUCUCUUCUCAUAUAUAAUUUAGAAUAUAAUAAUGUAUUGUCAAAGAUAUGGUAAAUGCAGUUUAUCGUCUUUGCAUUCAAAUUUGAAUUCCAUGCCGAAUAAUUUAGCCAUAUCACCUAACAAAAAUAAAGUACCAAUCAC